AAUUAAUCCUCAAAAAUACAACUUGCCUAAUAAUUCUGCACUCCCUGUAUAGUCACCAGAACAGCUACAGCUUAUUGAAUUUGUUCUGGUGAGUGGAUUCAUUCCCUUCAGGCUUUUUGCAGUAAACACUGUCUUUUCAGAGAAAAUGCAGUGUUUACAUUACAGCCUAGUGAAAACUUCACUCACUCCUCAGAUGCCCGCUAGAGAUGUUUCUU
This is a non-coding RNA of Pelobates cultripes (western spadefoot toad), 215 nucleotides long. NCBI's taxonomy places the organism in Eukaryota, Metazoa, Chordata, Amphibia, Anura, Pelobatidae. The record is from the annotation of a GenBank genome assembly.